UACGGUGAUCCUAGAAACCAACAAAAUAGAAUCAUGCCGUCCUAUUUUAUUAUUCCAUGCUAAUGUAUUCAAGCAAAAUGCCUGCUUUAAACACUCUAAUUUUUUCAAAGUAAAGGUCCUGGUUCCUCGCGGCACCCAAUUAAGGACAUCGCGGUUCUCCAGAAGGUGAGAAAUUGACUACGCCAGUUCAUACCCCUUAAGGCACG
Molecule: unclassified non-coding RNA, 206 nt
Filed under: uncultured Entrophosporaceae
Lineage: Eukaryota; Fungi; Glomeromycota; Glomeromycetes; Entrophosporales; Entrophosporaceae
Description: uncultured Claroideoglomeraceae sequence contains 18S rRNA gene
Source: RNAcentral